GCCUAACAAAAUAGAAACGAAAAAAUGAAAAAAAAACACAAAACCUAACAUUAUUACCCAGUCAAAUCAGACAGCCUGGGCACAUUAAAAUCUCUCUUUUUCAUGCUGAAUCAUCACAUCUGUUUGGCAGAAAAAAAUUUCCAAAACGUUCUUUCUUCAAUCCUGUUACCAUUUUCAAUUCUCUUUCUUUUUGAAAUUUUCUUCAAUCCAGGUUUCUUAACCAUUCCUCUUCCAUGGCUUCUUCGUUGUAGAUCGACUCAUCUCUAACCAGGUACCUCUUUUCCCCAUUUGCUAAUGUUUCUUUCGCUAUUUUGUGGGCUUGAAAGUUCUCUGAUUUUUGAAUAAACUGAAAAUCUAUUUCUUGAAAUAGCGAACUAUGACUCUUGAUAUCUUUGAUAACUACUCCAAUGAUCGAUUUAUCCAUCUCUGCCGAUUGACAUUUUUUAAUGACUGUCUUCGAAUCUCCCCUUAUUGUGACUGAUCGGGGGCCCAGUGAAAUACCCAGCUUGAUUGCUUGUAAACAAGCGAAUGCCUCUGCAAGAAAUGGGGAUGAGACAUUGGAAUGAAGGGUUGUUUUUAAGACUCUUUAUCUCUCCCCUCCAGUUUCGUACAAUGACCCCCGACGCUGAUCUGGACCUGUUUGCAUCAAAAGCUGCAUCAAAUUGUAUUGUGUCCUCCAUUUUCUCCUCCAUAUGUCUCUGUAUUCUGGCAGUCUUCAAGGUACGUCUUUCCUUACCCACUCCUUCAAGUUCUGCUAUAUAGCUCUCUACUUUCUGUGUAAGGUCCCUUCCUGAUGUGUUUUUUCUCAUGUACCAUUUGAUUUCGUGAGCUCCAUAUGAUCCAUAGCGCAACAAAACAUCUGACACUGUUCCUUAGUUUCUUUUGCAAAUACCCAUGUAAGCCAUGUUCUGGUAUUUUGAUCUGAAUAUGAUGUAACCCAAUCCAUGUUAAUAUUCUGCCAAACUUCAGUAAUUGUAGGGCAUUGCUGGAAUACAUGGAAGCUGUCCUCUUCCUCGGAGCCACAACGAGGGCAUCUCAUGUUUGUGGUUAUUCGCUUGUAUCGUAGGUUGGCUAGUGUAGGAAUAUAAUUCCAGGAUAUCCGCUAGACAAACAGUAGAGUUUUUGAUGGAAGUUGUAAAUCCCAUAACUUUCUAUAGAAUUCUUUAAAAUCUGUCUAUAAUAAGUUAUUAAAAAUCGAAUCAGCUUCUUGUAAUAGUUUAUAGUCACUCCGUACAGAGAACUCUCCGGUCGGUUCACCUUUCCAAACGCGUAAGUCUUCACUGUUCGUUUCUGCAAGUGGUAUCUCCAAAAAUUUUUGAGCUAUAUCUGAUACUAAUAAUGACCUCUGUUUUCCACUUCUUAUUUGUUUCAUCAAUUAAACCUGAUACUAUUUUUAGUUCCCUAUUUUCAUCUCCGUUCUGCCAUGUACUAGGUUCAAUCCUUGGAAUCCACCGAUUUGUCCAGAAGGAAACAUUGUUUCCUCUCCCAACUCUCCAACUUAGCCCCUGAAGGAGGAGUCUCUUUGUUGCCCAGAUGCUCUUCCAGGUAAGAGAAGGUAAAUUCCCUAACUCUGCACUUAAAAAAUCUGAUUGUGGAUAAUACUUUACUUUAAGGACUCUAGCUAAAAGUGAAUUUGGAUAAUUAAAAAGAUGCCACCCCUGUUUGGCUAAUAACACAAUAUUAAGCUGACUGAGAUUACGAAAACCCAAACCUCCCUUUUCUUUUAAACUGCAAAGAUUAUUCCAAGAGCACCAAUGAAUUCCCCCUUUACCAUGACCCUUUUCCCACCAAAAUUUUGCGAUAAUUGCUUCCAUUUCUUCGCAUAAAGUUUUUGGGAGUAAGAAGCAAGCCAUUGAAUAUGCCGGGAUGGCCUGUAAUACAGCUUUGAUGAAAACUUCUUUCCCGCCCUGCGAUAAAAAUCUAGUGCUGCAGUUGUCAAUACGCUGCCUUAGUCUAUCUUUCAAAGCCUGAAAAUAAGCCUUUUUUUUUAUCCUACCAUGGUCUGUAACACCCCUUACUCGAGACCGUUUCCGGAGUCGAGCUCAAGGAAUUACUUUAUUUAACUUAUUAGUUCGGGGCAUAAAAGUUUGCUUUUAAAAUUUAUCUCACUAUCUAUGAUAAAGCUGUCCACUCGCGCAGCAGUCACUAAAUCAUUUAUAACUCGAGCUACGAAACUCAAAAUUUAAAUCUAUAAAUUUUCCUUGAAACUAGACUCAUAUAUAUUCUUACCAUUAAUUUUUUAGAAUUUUUGGUUUAGCCAAUUAGUGUAGUUUAUUAGUUAAAGUCUCCCCUGUUUCACUACUCGAUUGUCCUAGCCUCUUGCCACUAAAAAUAAGUUUUCUCAUUUUGGGAAUUUCAUAUGGUGUUCUCACUUGUUUCUACAAAAAAUAGACUCAAUAAGGAAUCUAGACAUAAAAAUUACAACUCAUUUUUUACAAUUUUUAGUGAUUUUCUAAACUCUGAACAGGGGACUCCAAAAACGGUUCUGACCCUGUCUCACCAAAAUUCGUAUAUCUCAAAAUAUAAAAUUUCUUUUGCUAAAACGUUAUUUUUUCAUGAAAAUAGACUCAACAAAAUUUCAGUAUAUAUAUCAUACACCCUCUAAUUCAUUUUAUACUAUCCUAAGUGAUUUUUCAAAAUCACGUCAUUGCUACUGUUUGAAAUCUGUUUCUUUGCAAAUUAUUACUCUUUCAUGAUUUUUAUGCAUAAUUUAUCACAUAGACAUGUAUAACAACAAACACCUUCAUACUUAACUAUUUUGACAACAAUUCAUCUUUAGAUAUUUACACAUCAUUAUUUAGCAAAAUCGUAAUACAACAUUCAAAAUAAGUAAGUCCAUAUACAUGCCAUAGUUCAAACAUAGUUCAUCACAAAAUACCGAGUCGUUGUGGUUGAUAGUGUGGAUGAUCUCCGACGUCUUUAGGAUCCUCGACUUUGAUUAAUAAUGCUAUAUAAAAAGAAAAUAAACAAAGUAAGAAUAAUGCUUAGUAAAUUUACAAGUAAAUAAAUAGCAACAUUUAACACAAUUAAUAAUACUCAAGUGACAUAAUCUUUAAUUUCCUCUUUACUUACUUCCUUACUCGUUCUCUUGCUUGUUUACUUAGUUAACUCAUAAUUAUGACUUACUUUUCUCUUGCUGAAACGUUGAUUCUCAAUGGGUAACAUAAUAUACUCUUAGCUCUUAUAACUCACUUGAACUUGCCAUUUAUGUUUUUAACUAAACUUUCAUGAACAUAAGUUAUUUACUAGCCUGUUGAGCCACAUUGGAACAAUAAUGAUACUUGGGUCUCUUUCUGAUAAUAACAUGCCAAAACCAUGUCCCAGAUAUAGUCUUACAUGGGAUGUUUCAUGUGCUACCAAUGCCAUGUCCCAGACAUAGUCUUACAUGGGAUGUUUCAUGUGCUACCAAUGCCAUGUCCCAGACAUGAUCUUACGGGGGACCUCUCAUCUCGGUGCCAACGCAAUGUCCCAGACAUGGUCUUAUAUGGGACAUCUCAUCUCGGUGCCAACGUCAUGUCCCAGACAUGGUCUUACAUGAGACCUCUCAUGAUCUCAAGGAUGCCAAUGCCAUGUCCUAUACAUGGUCUUACAUGGGAUCUCUUUACCCAAAUGUCAUGACAUUUGCAUCCAAUACGUUCCUCAUGUUUCAACGGGGCCUUUUAACACUGAUUCUCUGUCAUCUCAUACUUGAGUUAACAUUAGAUAUUUUCAUGAAAUAAAUACAUAAUUGCUGAAAAAUAACAGUAUUAAUAAUAAUUUUUAAAAUAUUGCAUUAAUUUACCGUAAACUUACCUCGAUACCAAAUAUAGUCAAAUCUACCACUUAGUCUUCAAUCUUAUUCUUUCCUUGAUCUAACCUCAAAUUCUAUUCUUUUUGAUCUAUAAUAGCAAAUUUAACUUAUUUAAUACUUACAUUCAUUAAAACAUCCCUCGACUUCAACUUUGGAAAAAUUACAAUUUUUCCCCUAAACUUUUACAUAAUUACAUUUUUCCCCAAAGCUCAGAAAUUAAACUUCAUCUCUUAUUCUUAUGUUUUACAACAUGCUGAACAUUUUUCUCUUCUAUGACAACAUCAAAUUCUUACUCUAAAAUCUACUUAUGAACAUUAGGUAUUUUACCGAUUAUGGAGUUUUACUCGUUUUCGCUUAAAAUCGACUAGCAAAAGUUGUUUAACAUAAUUUUUAACUUCAUAUUAUAUCUUAAAACAUCAAAAUAAACACUUUUCACCUAUGAGUAUUUUUUCAAAUAUAAACCCUAGGUUAAAUUAUUACUAGAAUAAACUAAAUUAAGCUACCGGGAUCGCAAAAAUGUAAAGAACAUUAAAAACGGGGUUUGGAAUCACUUACUAUGAGCUUGAGAAAGUGUGAAAACCCUAGCUAUGGUGUCCAAAUUUUGGCAGCAAGCUUUUUUGGAGAAGAUGAUAUUUUUGCCAUCUUUUUCCCUUUUUAUUCUUUUUAUUAUUCAAUGACUAAAAUGCCCUUCAUUAAAACUUUAGUUAUUUUUAUCUAUGCAUGUCUAUUUUUUUCCAUGGAAAUUUUAUGGUCUAAUUGCUAUUUAAGGACCUCUUCUUUGAUUAUGCACUUCAAAUAAAUCCUUUAUCAUCUAAAACUCAUAUUUACCCACUUUUGCAGUUAAGUCCAAAUAGGCAAUUUAGGCAUGCAAUCAAUAAAAUUUCUUAUCAAUACUCUAGUACUUAUAUCUAAUUACUAGAUAAAUCAUAAAAAUUAAUAAUAAUUUUAUCUUUAAAUUGGAUUUGUGGUUACGAAACUACUAUUCUGAUAACCUUAAAUUUGGGCCAUUACAUGGUCGGCAAACCUAGAUAACAUUCUGGUUCAUUUGAGCUUCGGAUUCCUAGCAAGUUUACCACCUGACUUCUUUCUUCUGCCAUCGUAUUUUUGCUGGAAAAAUAGUUGAUUUGUCCAUAUUCACACACUGUCCUGAACCUCUUUUAUACUCACUUUUGAUUUCCUUGAUUGUAUUAUCCCCUCUACAUGUUGCCUCCCCAAAAAGAAUGCAAUCAUCUGCAAAUAAUAAAUGUGAUACCUGUGGUCCUCUUCUGCUUACUUUGACACCCUUCAAAAAACCUUCAUUUGUUGCUUUUCUCAUAAGACUGGAAAGGCCUUCCCCACAUAUUAAGAAAAGAAAUGGACUCAAAAGAUCACCUUGUCGAAGUCCCCUCGAUGGACUGAAUGUCACCCCGACAUUUCCAUUUACCACAACCUUGUAAGAAACAAUAGUCAUGCAUUUCAUAAUAGUAUCAAUCCAACUUCGAGCGAAACCCAUUCGACACAUUAUUUCUUUAAUAAAAUUCUAUUCAACUCUAUCAUAAGCUUUACUCAUGUCCAAUUUUACAGCCACAUAGCCCUUUUUCCCCACUCUUUUCUGUUUUAGGGAACGCAAUAUCUCGUAAGCAAGCAAAAUAUUAUCCGAGAUUAAUCUUCCUGGCACAAAGGCACUUUGUGCACUAUCAAUGCAUUUAUCAAUCACUCCUCUAAAUCUGUUCGCUAUAACUUUUGCCAUUAUUUUAUAAAUGACAUUGCAUAAACUAAAAGGCCUAAAAUGUGUCAUAUUAGCCGGGUUAUUAAUUCUUUGAAUGAGCACAAUAUGAGUUGUAUUAAUUGAACUAACCUCCAUAUCUUCAUUCAAGAGUUGUAGACAGAAGGAAACUACAUCAUCUCCAAUAAAAUGCCAAUACUUCUGAUAAAAUAAAGCUGGGAAUCCAUCUUCGCCUGGUGCCUUAGUGGGUGCCAUCUCGAACAAAGCCUCGCGGAUUUCUUCUCAUGUAUAUUGCACAGUCAGCUUUUUAUUUUCCUCUUUAUAGAUACAUCAACCAAUACCCGAGAGUAAAUAGUCGAGAUUCUCUUGAUUCUCUGAAGCAAAUAAAUUCUGGAAGUAGGACCUUGCUAUUUCUUCCAUUUCCUGGGGAUCUCCCGUAUCCCUUCCAUGUGCAUUUUGUAACCUCCUGAUCUUGUUUUUCCUCUGUCUUUGGGUUGUCUGGCUAUGGAAAAAAGCUGUAUUUUUGUCACCUAAUUUUAACCAAGUCAAUCGAGCCCUUUCCUCCUUAUAUCUUUCCUCCUUCUCAAACUCCAUAUUUAGUUGAAUCUUCGUAUCGAUCAUCUCCGCCAUGUUAAUGUCGUCCCUGUCAGCAUUGAGCAGCUCAGAUAGCUUUGUUGUUAAAAAUCUCUUUUCCAUUUUUCUUGUUUCGUAUUUUCCCAGCCCAAUUUUCAAGCCCUUUAUUUAGGAUUUUCAUUUUCUACAAAAAAUUACCUAGUGUCAUCUUCCACAGCUGCUAGCUUAAGCAACAAAUGAGUCCUCCAAAAACCACCAGUUUUCAAUUUUGAAUAUAUUCCCAUUUUGUCGUCUUGUUUCCUUUUUAGUAUCAAUUAAAAUGGGACAAUGAUCAGAAAAAGAAUGAACCAAAUGUUGAGCUUUAACGUCAGAAAAUAAUGAAAUCCAUUCCUUAUUUGCCACCCCCUAUCCAACCGUUAUCGUAUAUUUUUUUGGGAGAUUACCUCUUUCCCAUGUGAACCAUUUGCCCGAAUAACCCACAUCAUUCAAUUGACAAAACUCCAGCGCUUUUCGAAACAUUUCCAUCUGUCUUUCAUCACGGGGCAAGCCUCCCUUCUUCUCAAAACCAUACAUGACUUUAUUGAAAUCUCCACAUACUAACCAUGGUAUAUUAUCUCCAUUAGAGAGAUUUUUGAGAACAGCCCAUGAAUCUUCUUUAUCUUGUGCGUACAGGGUACCAUAGAAACCUGUAAAAAGCCACAUAACCUCCCUCUCAUUGUCAUGGACUAUCGCGUCAAUAUGCCUUUUAGAGAAAUUUUUUAAAGAAAUAUUAACGCCAUUCUUCCAUGCCAAACAUAGCCCUUCUCUAGUUCCCUCUACGUCCACCUCAAUGCCAUUCACAAAACCACAUCUCUGUCAAACUCUUUCCAUCUGUUUUCCGUAAAGUUUAGUCUCCAUAAAGAAGACUAUGUGGGGAUCACAAGUCUUCAGCAAGUGCCGAAGUCUUCUAACUGUCCGUGGACUCCCCAAUCCACGAAAAUUCCGACUUAUUAUUUUCAUAAUGCCCGGUCGGCUUGCCUCUUGGCAGCCGCCGAUGACAAAUGAUUAAGAUCCAUUAAUCUCCUAUUUCUUGCCGGGGAAUUUAACUCCUCAGUCUUUGAUAAGUCGUUACUCUCCCUUCUAGAUCUUUUUUUACCUUCUUCUCCUACUAAGGCUACAUCCUCCAAGUCAUGAUCCAUCGCAUGUUGACCAUGGUCUGUCAGUGAGCUAACCUGCUUUGCAUAAUCAAAUAGUAAGCCACCUUCCAGAUUAAUACUGAGAACUGGUUCAAUAGCCUUCCCAAAACUCUUCCUGUGCUCCAUUUUCUGUGGUCCAUUCAUAAAUCUCAUGUUUGCCUCCUGAAUCCCGUCUGAACUCCCCUCCCCUUCCUCUCGUAGCCAGACAAUAUUCAUAGUCAGAGCUCUUCGGGAUUGUGCUUUUAUUGAUAAAUCCCACCCCAUUUCAGCUAUUUUCACUCCAGUCAUCGUUUUUGCCUUACAAAACGAGUCAUUAUGGCCUAGUUUUCCAUAAUAGAAGCAGAAAAGAGUCAAUCUUUCAUAUUUAAAACAGAUAUAUGAUCGUCUCCCACAGAAUUCGAUCAACUUAGACCCUAACCCUCAUAAAGUUUCUAUUUUCUUUCCAUAAAUUUGACACAUCAUAUUCCAUAAAAUACCCCAAAAAAUUCCCUAGAUUCACUGCUAAAUUUUUAGAAAACAAACCAAUGGGCACUUUAUGUAUCUGAACCCAGAAAGGGGUUAGCACUAAAGGGACCUGCAACGAAUCCUCCCCCCACCACAGUCUAUAAAAUAUCAAUAGAUGAUUAUUGAAGGUCCAUGGGGAGCCUUUCAAAACCCUCUCCAUAUCCAUAGAAUGAAAAAAUUAGAACAAAAACCUUUUUCCCCCCAAAUCCCGAAUGCAAACUCCUCGAACAGGAUGCCAUAGUACUUUUCAUGGCUGGAAAGUGAAUUAUACUCGUUGUAAGAAAACACCCCACUAAUUGAAAAAACUAUUCACUUCUUUCCGUACCUAGAUUUUUUUGAAUUUUAAUAACAUCUUUCUCUUCGUUGAUCGAUAAUUGGGCUAAUUCAUUCUCUAUAAUUUUUAGGGACACAACGCCGUAAGCCAAAAAGAAAGACAGAAGAACAAAAAACCUAAAAUUUUGCCAAAGGCAGUAGACACAAACGUGCUAGGCGUUGCUGAAUUAAAAGAACUUACAUCAACAAGAAUAAUCACAAAUGGAAAUGAGCUUUUCGACAGAAUAUGAAACUAAUUAUUCAAGCUCAAUAAAAAAAUAUGUUUUUGUUCUUUUUUUUCUUUUCGAUUUAUUUUUUUUUUGAGAAAUAAGAAAUAAAAUUCAACAAUUUCAAAAAAAAAUGAAACAUAGUUAGGCAACUAACCAAAUCAAAUCUUGACAAAAAGGGGAGUCAAUAAAAACAACAAUUAAGGUGGUUAAAUGGGUUAAAUCUUAAGUGUCUCUAUAAUGUCAAUAUAUUAAAUCAAUAAUGUGGUCUAGAUAUGUAUAAUAUAAGCAAGUUCUAGAAUAACAAAUGAAGUUGACAUACUUUCAACCAAAAAUAAAAUGAUCACGAAUAAAUAUAUGCUCUAUAGGCUCAAAGGCUCACAAAAAAUUAAGGUUUUGAUGUCAAACUUGCAAUUUCAGAGUUUGAAGAUAAUAAUUCAAUUCAGGAAGGCAACCUAAAAUAUUUAUUUCUUAAAAAAUAACUUAUCAUGCUUGACUGUCUCGUGCCUUAAAGACACACAAAUUAAUCCAAAACAAUAUCAAUAAAAAUUUCAAAUAAAAAAAUUCACUCUAAUGGAUAACCUCCUCAGACUUAAGAUAUACAUUGUCCUUAAUGUGCAAAUAGAUGUAAGCACAGAAUAAGACAAUAUCAAAAGAGAGGGAGAACUGAAACUGCCUUGAAUAUGGAUGAAUUCGCCAUAAUAGUGAAAACUGGAAUCGUAAGCGAGUUUAAAUGAAAUGCAUGUUUCUGAGCAAACUAAUAAGAAAAUGAACAAAAAUAAAUAAGAAGGUAAAGAGAUUACAAACUCGAACAAAAAAACCAUCAAAAUAAUAAAAAUAACAACAUAGUUUAAAAUAGAAAUAAAAUAAAUUAGUAUCACAAAAAAUACAACAAUUAAAAAUAAAAGCACAAUUGAAAAUAAAACAAAUAAAGCAAAUAAAAUGAAAAAAUCAGUGAUCGUCGUCGUGAGAGGCGUCAGGAUCGCGCGGAACAUAAGCAGAAUGAGAGAUAUGGAGGUGUUGGUGAAUCGAUGCAAGGUCGCGUAAAUGUUUGUUGAACAGUGCUAACUGUUACUUGACGUACUCAUAAUGUAACCGCUCGAGGUGAUUUAGCCGAUGUGAAAUAUCGUCGAGUGUGACUGAAUGUGCAGGUGUGGUAGUAGAAGGGCUUGGAGAAGUGGGAAUGGGUCGCAGUGCUGGGGGGAGAUCAUUGUUAAGGUGCUCAUUAUCCUUGUGCUAUUAAGUCGCUCGUAGCAACACAUACUGAUCACCGAAAGGCCCAGACUAACGAGCGAUCAUCCUCAUGUGUUUCAUAAUAUUUAAACCUUGUGGUGUCAUGUCCCCAACCAAAGUAAGAGUACUAAUCUGUUCUCGAGUCUCGAUAAGACUGAAGAGACUAGUCAAGAGUGUGAUAUAUAGACCCAUACAAAGAGGUCCUCUCCGUGACCUCUCACCCUGAUUACAACAACACUGAGCUACGAAGUGGGAUAGAUCAAUCAGAUGUUGUCUGUGCAUGCUCUAUAAGAAAUGUGCAUCUAAAGUGCCCAUGACGCUUGUAACGACCCAUUUUCAGUGGUGUUAGAAAUAGUGAUUUUGGGACCACAAUUCUGACGAGUGAAUUAUUAUUUUAUCAUUUAUUUAAUGUUUAUUGGAUUAUAUUAAUGUCGUAUUAAAAUUUUGUUAAGAAAUUUUGAUGUUUAAAUGGUUAAUUAGGUGAAAAGGACUAAACCGUAAAAAGUGUAAAAGUUGAGAGUUCUAUUAGUUAAAGUGGUCCAAUGACUAUGAAAUCAAAAAACUAAAAGGAUUGAUUGGUAAAUAUACCAUUUAAAGUGUCAAUAGAUGUGCAUGGACAAGGUUUUAAUGAAAUUUUGAUAGUUUUUAAAGGUUAAAAUGACAAUUGAAUAAUUAACUUAAAAACAAAACAAAUUAAAAAUGGUAUCAUCUUCAUCCUUGGCUAUCUCCACCAAAAUUUGAAGAGAAAAACAUGAUUAGGAUAGGGUUGAGAAUUCGAUCAAGUUUCUACUUGUAUGUAAGUGAAUUCAAGCUCCGUUUUUAAUAAUUUUUGUGUUUUUAGUUCAUUUUAGUUUAAUCUAGCUAGCCCGGGGGUUAAUUUGCAAAGCUAUUAAUGGUUGAAAGACUUUUCAUGGAUAUUUUUGAAUAUGUUUUGACGUUUUUUGAUGGAUUAUUUAUCUUUAUUGUAAAAUAAACAUGUUUGUUAAGUGAUUUUUAUUGAAUUUUAGAAAUAUGGAUUAGAUUGUUAAAAGUAUAAAUCCAUGGGUUUUGUUGUGAAAUGUUGGUAAUAAUGGGUUGUUUCAAGGUCUCUUUGAACAUUGGUUAAGUUGGAUUUAGGUUAAAAUGAUUAGAGUUUAAGUUAUGAGCUUGAGGACUAAAUUGUGAAAAGUCAAAGUAUUAGGGUAAAUUUUGUAAUUCUUCAUAAAUAUUAAUUAUGGAUUAAAUUUAAUUCUAGAAGUACUUAAUUGAAUGAAAUUAUUUAUUUAGAUCAAGAUAAACCACAAUCAUACUUAAAUUGAAGAAAAGCUAAAGCUUCGGAUUAGUGUUCGAUUAUACUUUUACGCCCUAGUUAUCGAGGUAAGUUCGUAUGAACUAUGAUCGUUUUAAUGUUAGUUAAAUUGACUAUUUGAUGUGUUGUUUUAAUAUAAAUGAAUCUAUGUAUAAAUGUAUCUAAGUUAUGAUGAUUUGACAGAUAACGAGUCUUGUUUGAACCUUAAGAAUUCUUAGGAUACAAAUGACAUGUCAUUUGGGAUUUCAUGUUUCGGGUGUUGGUUUUGAAUGUCCUAUCGAUGACCGAGGUCCUGUAUUUGUUGCGAGUUUUUCAUAGCUCGUGUGGGCAGCAUCGUGUAGCUAACAUUCUGACCCAUAACUCAUGUGAGCAGACCUAUUUCAUAGCUCGUGUGAGCAUUAAUGUAAAGGAAAUGUUACGGUUAUAUGGAAAGGCACACUACGUGUGAGCAUUCCUGAGUAUCUGAUGUAAUUUUAGAUGGUUCAAUGGGUAAGAAAAGGAAAUGAAAUGGUAAGUAUGCAAAUGGAAUGAAUCAUGAUUUUAUAAUGACAUUGAUGAGUUAAAUGAUGUGUUUAUAUAUGGUAAACUACAUAUCUUAUGGUUGAUUUCAUUUGUAUCAUGAACAAGUAUACUAACUUGUUAGUUUGAUGAUGUUGUAUAGGCUUUUACUAAGCUUAUGGCAUUGGUAAUGAUUUAUGCUUAAUCUAUGAAUUGUAUAAAUGAAAUGGUAAGUUAUGCUAAGUUUUUACGAGCUUACUAAGCACUCGUUGCUUACAUAGUUACUUUCUUUUGUUUUAUAGAUUAUUUAAAGCUCGAUCGGUUGGAAGUUAAUCGAAGACCUAUCACACUAUCCAACAAUCAUUUCAAUAGUUUUUUUUUGUGUGUAUUUUGGCCAAGGUUAAUAAUGACAUGUAUAAGAUCUUUGUAAUGUAAGUUUUGGUAUGUUUAAGCUUUUGCAGUUAUGUUGGUUUGGUGCACUUUGAUAUCUUACCAAGUUAUGUCAUAUUGGUCACUUAAGUGCUUUUAAACAAAGUUCUUUUGGUAUGUUUUGAUGGCUUGAAAAUGGCCAUAUGUGGUAGUUAAUUGAACUAGGUUAUUAUGCUUGGGAAUAUACAAUAUUGACUUGUUUUGGUAAGUGAUGUUUUGAUAUAUUUGUGGUGCCUUUGAGUGGCAUAUUGGUUAGAUGAAUUAGGGUGUUUGAAAAGGCAUGUUUUUGUGUAUUUGAAUGAAGUUUAAAUUCCUUGAAUGUAUGCCCAAAUGGUUUGAAUGGUUAGGUAUGAAUUGGACUUGAAAUGGCUUGAUUUUAGGUUAAAUUUUGGGUUCACAUGGCCUGGGACACGGGCUGUCACAUGGCCGUGUGACACACACAGCCUGGCGACACGGUCGUGUGUCAUUUCAAAUUUUUUAGUGAUUCAAGUCAGUGAGUUACACGGCCUGACACACAGGCGUGUGUGGCAACUCAGAGAGUUAUACGACCAUGUGACCCUUCUCAGUGAGUUACACGGGUGAGGAAACAUGCUAGGACACCGUCGUGUGUCCUUUGUUCGAAUGUGUCACGGCUUGGCCACACGACUGUGUGACCCCCGUUUUCAUAUUUUUGCAUCUUUUUCUUAAAAUUUCUAUUUUGUUUCGAUUCAGUCCUGAAUUGUUUCUAAGCUAUUUUUAGGGCCUCGAAGGCUCGAUUUAGGGAUAAAAUGCAUAUGAAUGAUUGGUUUACAAUAAAUUUAAUUUAUUUUAUAUUAUAGUGUUAAAUGAUUUUCGGUUGAAAGGUAAUGCUCUGUAACCCUAAUCUAGCGACGGAGACGAGUUGGGGUGUUUCAAUGCUUGUACUAUUCUUUCGUCUAGUUAAAGUAUGAACUAGAAUGACAUGAAUAUAUUACAAGGUUGGAGGGAGGCACUUAGCCUUAGACUGGCUCGGGUUGCACGGAAUGACAGCCUCAGAGAUUUCUGACGAACAUAGAAAGAUCGAUUAAUGGAUGUGUUGUGGGACGGAUGAGAGCUCGGUCACUACUAAGAAAUCAUUAGAAUAUAGGCUGAGAGUGACAGCAAAAAUUGCAAUACUAAAGUGUUGAGUGAUACCCUCAAGACAGAAUGAUAUAGCUCGUGGGUCAUCCCCCGAGAAUAAUACAGUCGGUAGGAAGAAUGUGGAGAAAAACUUGAAUGUAAGCUCAACAUAUGUCGACUCCACGAUCGUGAAGAAUCGAUCCCAUGGGGUUGCGAUUAAAAGAGAAUGAAUCGGUGUGAAUAAGUCCACAAUAUGGAAGGCAUCCCAAUCUACACGUCUACCCACGCCCAAUGCUCUAUCCUUAAGAUUCUGGCACUCUCCACAUAGGGUGGAUGGUCGAAGGUGAGGUAUUGGUAACGAGUGGUUGUUAUCGGAGAGGAUGAAGAUGAGGUCCAUGUGGCUUUUCUUUUAUUAGAAUAAGUGGGGACCCCACUUUUUCCUCGUCGGUUUUGCAUUUUGUAUCUGAAAUAAAAUAUAAUAACCAAAUAUCAGAUAACCAAAAAUCAAAACCACAAAAAAUAAAUCUAGCAAAUAGACAAAUCAACAUACGAAAUAAAACAUAUCGGCAAGCGAACUACCUCACGAUAAAAGUCAAAUCACAACGAGUCUAACCGAAAUCUACUUCGAAUACAAAACUUGAGCUAAUACUAAUACUAUUGAGGCAAAAAAAAAUUAAACUAACCAACUAAAACUAAUAAUAAUAGAAUAAUAAAAUAAUAACAAUAAUACUAAUACUAAACAAAAUAAACAUAUUAAUAAUAGUAGGAGUAAUAAUAAUUAAAAUAAUAAGAAAAUAAAUAAAAACAAAAAUAAUAAAAAUUAAAUAAAAUGAAAUGAAAGAAUAGGGUUGAGCCAAACGGUGGUAACAGCAAUGGUUGGUGGCGAUGGUGAAUGGAGGCGCGGUGGUAGAAGCGAGUGAGGACGUGGGAGAGGGCUGAUGGUGGUAAUGCACAGGUGAAGAGGGUUAGAACAGAGGGAAAAAAACCAGACGGUAGAGGAAAUGGCAUGAUUGACGGUGGGGGAAGGAAAUGGAAAAAGAGAAGCGCGGGAAGGAAAGGAAACGACAUGAUCGACGGUAGAGGACGUGUGUCUAGCCAAUGUGGAAUGGCCCAGCUUGUGUGGCUCUGAAAGAUUCCUCCGAUUUUUUGAUUUUCGCUCCUUUUGCUUCCAAAUGCUCUCCUAAGUAUAAAAACAUGAAUAUAUAGGAUUAGGGGCAUAAAAUUCACCAUUUUAAAUCGAAUAAUGAUCCAAAACUGCAUUAAGAAUAAGGCUAAAACAUGUUACUUUUGGCAUUUAUCAAUAGGAAAUGGGUUGGUUUGAAAAUAAAUGGAUUGCUUGUCGUAGAAUAUUAUUCUCGGCAUAACUCAAAAUAUAAAAUUUUAAAAAUUAUAUUUAAUACAAUAAAACAUUUAUUAUAUUUAUGGUAGUAUUUUUUAAUGUGGUAUGAAACUCUUAGUUGAUGAAACGUGUUUAGUGGUAGAUUGAAUAGCCUAUUAGAUCAUUAAUUCUGAAGCCAUUAAUCAUAUUUGUGUUUAUUGCAG
This 14353-nucleotide long non-coding RNA is filed under the name Gossypium barbadense (sea-island cotton). Its description in RNAcentral is "long non-coding RNA (GBAR_LNC019520)". The record is from RNAcentral. Lineage: Eukaryota; Viridiplantae; Streptophyta; Magnoliopsida; Malvales; Malvaceae.